Molecule: ribosomal RNA, 230 nt
Filed under: uncultured bacterium
Lineage: Bacteria
Description: partial 16S ribosomal RNA
Rfam family: Bacterial small subunit ribosomal RNA
Source: RNAcentral
UAAAGCGUGCGCAGCGGUUAUAUAAGACAGAUGUGAAAUCCCCGGGCUCAACCUGGGAACUGCAUUUGUGACUGUAUAGCUGGAGUGCGGCAGAGGGGGAUGGAAUUCCGCGUGUAGCAGUGAAAUGCGUAGAUAUGCGGAGGAACACCGAUGGCGAAGGCAAUCCCCUGGGCCUGCACUGACGCUCAUGCACGAAAGCGUGGGGAGCAAACAGGAUUAGAUACCCGAGU